GUGAACUGAACUAAAUUGACACUCUUAUAAUUGAUAGGUAAUAACUGUACCCAUCUUUUUAUUUAAUUAUAUAUAUCAUCAUCCAGAUUGUAGACACUUACCCAUAAUAAUCAGGAUUUCUCCCAUAUUGAGGAAUAACAAUAAGAUCAAGAUUGUCAUUCCCAACAUCAUCAUCAGCAAUACUGGAAGGGGGGAGUAAGUAACCUUCUGACGGAUCGCUCAUACCUAAAAAUUUUAUAUUGAAAAAUAUAUUCAUAAAUGCAUAUAUUAAAAAAAGAAUUAUAAAUGAUAUUCAACUGAAGUUGGCCCUUCUCAAAAAAGAAACUGAAGUAGGCCUAAA
This 340-nucleotide long non-coding RNA is filed under the name Citrus sinensis (sweet orange). Its description in RNAcentral is "long non-coding RNA (CSIN_LNC005023)". Lineage: Eukaryota; Viridiplantae; Streptophyta; Magnoliopsida; Sapindales; Rutaceae. The record is from RNAcentral.